GAUGAACGCUGGCGGCGUGCCUAAUACAUGCAAGUCGAGCGAAUGGAUUAAGAGCUUGCUCUUAUGAAGUUAGCGGCGGACGGGUGAGUAACACGUGGGUAACCUGCCCAUAAGACUAGGAUAACUCCGGGAAACCGGGGCUAAUACCGGAUAACAUUUUGAACCGCAUGGUUCGAAAUUGAAAGGCGGCUUCGGCUGUCACUUAUGGAUGGACCCGCGUCGCAUUAGCUAGUUGGUGAGGUAACGGCUCACCAAGGCAACGAUGCGUAGCCGACCUGAGAGGGUGAUUGGCCACACUGGGACUGAGACACGGCCCAGACUCCUACGGGAGGCAGCAGUAGGGAAUCUUCCGCAAUGGACGAAAGUCUGACGGAGCAACGCCGCGUGAGUGAUGAAGGCUUUCGGGUCGUAAAACUCUGUUGUUAGGGAAGAACAAGUGCUAGUUGAAUAAGCUGACACCUUGACGGUACCUAACCAGAAAGCCACGGCUAACUACGUGCCAGCAGCCGCGGUAA
This 515-nucleotide ribosomal RNA is filed under the name uncultured bacterium. RNAcentral's name for it is "partial 16S ribosomal RNA". It matches the Rfam family "Bacterial small subunit ribosomal RNA", at positions 28 to 523 of the family's 1533-position model. The record is from RNAcentral.